This 119-nucleotide ribosomal RNA is filed under the name Pteropus alecto (black flying fox). Lineage: Eukaryota; Metazoa; Chordata; Mammalia; Chiroptera; Pteropodidae. The record is from RNAcentral.
GUCUACGGCCAUGCCACCCUGAACAAACUCAAUCUCGUCCAAUCUCAGAAGCUAAGCAGGGUCAGGCCUGGUUAGUACUUGGAUGGAAGACCGUCUAGGAAGACCAGGUGCUGUAGGUG